GCGAGCAUGAUGGAAGAACGACGCGCGGCGGAG
Molecule: unclassified non-coding RNA, 33 nt
Filed under: Sorangium cellulosum So ce56
Lineage: Bacteria; Pseudomonadati; Myxococcota; Polyangiales; Polyangiaceae
Description: sce_Cardiovirus_CRE_26
Source: RNAcentral